Molecule: ribosomal RNA, 262 nt
Filed under: uncultured bacterium
Lineage: Bacteria
Description: partial 16S ribosomal RNA
Rfam family: Bacterial small subunit ribosomal RNA
Source: RNAcentral
GUCCACGCCCUAAACGAUGUCAACUGGUUGUUGGACGGCUUGCUGUUCAGUAACGAAGCUAACGCGUGAAGUUGACCGCCUGGGUAGUACGGCCGCAAGGUUGAAACUCAAAGGAAUUGACGGGACCCGCACAAGCGGUGGAUGAUGUGGUUUAAUUCGAUGCAACGCGAAAACCUUACCUACCCUUGACAUGUCUGGAAUCCUGAAGAGAUUUGGGAGUGCUCGAAAGAGAACCAGAACACAGAUGCUGCAUGGCCGUCGU